This 205-nucleotide unclassified non-coding RNA is filed under the name Hevea brasiliensis (rubber tree). Lineage: Eukaryota; Viridiplantae; Streptophyta; Magnoliopsida; Malpighiales; Euphorbiaceae. The record is from RNAcentral.
AACUCCAUAAUCCGUGAAUGUAAACGUAGAAACAUCUCCUUGCCUUGUAAUAAUGUAAUUAGCAUUGGGCACAGAAGAGUGAAGCAUGCACGUCAAAGAUUGCCAUUGAUUCCGACUUAGAGAAUCACCUACGAACAUUAUGCUUUUCCCCCUAAAUCUUUCUAACAUUUGCACCCCAUUCAACCUCUGUAAAUCGCAGCCCAAU